RNAcentral lists this long non-coding RNA (1143 nucleotides) under Diabrotica virgifera virgifera (western corn rootworm). RNAcentral's name for it is "uncharacterized LOC126886905". Lineage: Eukaryota; Metazoa; Arthropoda; Insecta; Coleoptera; Chrysomelidae. The record is from RNAcentral.
UAACAACACACAACAUUCCAGGAAUGUACUACCAAAGUUCUAUCAAUAUUUGAAUGUCCUGGACAUUUAGGGAACAUUCGGUGAACAUCUGUUUAAAUUAUUCCUGGAAUGUUACCAUAAGACAUUCUGUGAACAUACUACCAAUGUUCCUAUAUUUUAAGUUGCGAAAUAAUACAUACGUGUAACAGAUACAACAUUACUUAUAACAUACCAGACAAACUAAGUGACACUUUAGGCCUACAGUGCAAUAAUAUGUCAAAUUUAAAGAGUUUCCCAAGUUCAAUUAAUACAAAUUAUAAACAUACAAAUAUAAUAAAAAUUAUUGUUCGCGAAUAUUCAAUUUGGAAUGCGAUUUUGUUAAUAAAAAAAAUACUUAUAACUUAUGCAAAACCCAAGAGAGGCAUUUAUAUUUAUUUCUUUUGCGUUCAUUUUCAAAUUCGCCGUGCAUAUAUUUUUGUGCAUGGCGCUUGAGAGGGCAUCACGUGACUAAAAACGACCAACCAACGACCUCGUUUCGGCCAUCUUGGCAUCUUCAUCUUGGCCACCUUGCCACCUUCACCUUGCUUUGCCGUGGGUGGAUGGUUGUUUGUAUUAUUUUUGUGCCUUUUAAGAAUAUUUUUUUAAUUCGGAUACUUUUAUAAUAGCUUUAAUAGUAUUAUUAACAUAGUGAAUAAAAUGGUGUCCUGUUUUUAACGCAGUUGGAGUAGCAGAAACAAAUGUAGAUAAAAAAAUCUGCAGGAAUAACGUUUCAAUUAUGACAGAAGCUCCAAACAAAUGACUGUGAAUGAAAAGCCCUAUUAAAAGCUUUCCAGAAGAUCCUGCGAAGAAGACAUGAAGUAUAGAUCAGAUUUGUUAAUAGAGGAGUAUGUUCAAAACACUUUUUAGAAAAAGAUAUUGACAGAACUUCACUUUCAUCUGUUCGUUUAAGAGACUGUGCUGUUCCAAUAGCUUAUGUCACACAGAAUCAGCUGAGAGAAGUGGUCUACAAAAAACCAGAAAGGAAACGGAAUAUGUGGCUACGAAAAGCAAAAGAAAGGUUUACAAAGCAAAUGUGACACAUUUUUUUAUAAUAUUUAGGAAUGUCAGUAAAUUACAUUAAAAAAUGUAUGUAAAGAUUUUUUGCAAUAAAAAUGUUUAUAUUUA